UACGUAGGGUGCGAGCGUUGUCCGGAAUUAUUGGGCGUAAAGAGCUUGUAGGCGGUUUGUCGCGUCUGCUGUGAAAAUCCGGGGCUCAACCCCGGACUUGCAGUGGGUACGGGCAGACUAGAGUGUGGUAGGGGAGACUGGAAUUCCUGGUGUAGCGGUGAAAUGCGCAGAUAUCAGGAGGAACACCGAUGGCGAAGGCGGGUCUCUGGGCCGUAACUGGACGCUGGAGGAAGCGAAAGCAUGGGGAGCGAACAGG
Molecule: ribosomal RNA, 256 nt
Filed under: uncultured bacterium
Lineage: Bacteria
Description: partial 16S ribosomal RNA
Rfam family: Bacterial small subunit ribosomal RNA
Source: RNAcentral